RNAcentral lists this antisense RNA (75 nucleotides) under Actinophytocola oryzae. RNAcentral's name for it is "ASpks TB sRNA". It matches the Rfam family "ASpks TB sRNA". The record is from Rfam by way of RNAcentral. Lineage: Bacteria; Bacillati; Actinomycetota; Actinomycetes; Pseudonocardiales; Pseudonocardiaceae.
CUUCAGCGACCCCACCAGCAGGGGCUGGUCCGCCGGGCGGCCCUGACCGUAGGUGGCGAGCAGUGCCUGUGCCUC